CGUGCAGCCGGGAAUGCAAGUCAGAUGUGAAAUCCAUGGGCUUAACCCAUGAACUGCAUUUGAAACUGUAUUUCUUGAGUACUGGAGAGGCAAUCGGAAUUCCUAGUGUAGCGGUGAAAUGCGUAGACAUUAGGAGGAACACCAGUGGCGAAGGCGGAUUGCUAGACAGCAACUGACGGUGAGGCGCGAAAGUGUGGGGAGCAAACA
RNAcentral lists this ribosomal RNA (207 nucleotides) under uncultured bacterium. RNAcentral describes it as "partial 16S ribosomal RNA". It matches the Rfam family "Bacterial small subunit ribosomal RNA", at positions 568 to 774 of the family's 1533-position model. The record is from RNAcentral.